UUUUAUCACAUAUAUUAGCUUGGAAAACCAAAGAAAGAUAGAGUAGUACCGCUUGUGAAUCAAUCAGACUUGCGAUAAUUUCUGUCUAUUAGCAUAUUUAUCUAAUCUUUUAAUAUAUUUAUUAUAGCAUCCAAACAUUAACAAUUGCAUAUGCCUCUGAAAAUAUCAGUACAUAUAAGAUACCCACAUAAUAUCCCAAAACUUUACUAUAAUAUACCCAAUUAUAACUACUAUAUUCAAAUAUUUUUGCAAUUUAUUCACCAAUCUAUUGACUAGUAUAGUCAUCAAUAAUUUCACAUCAUUCAGUUCACUCAAGAAAUUAAUUUGGAAGGAAUUUUCAGUUAACUAUUCUGUAAAUACCAUAUUUGAACAAAUCGAUUUUCCUAUAAAUAACUUAUUUAUUUAACAGUGGUACUGUAUAUCCCAGCUAGUUUUCAG
Molecule: long non-coding RNA, 438 nt
Filed under: Gossypium barbadense (sea-island cotton)
Lineage: Eukaryota; Viridiplantae; Streptophyta; Magnoliopsida; Malvales; Malvaceae
Description: long non-coding RNA (GBAR_LNC008657)
Source: RNAcentral